AGGACGAACGCUGGCGGUGUGCUUCACACAUGCAAGUCGAACGGAGUAGCAAUACUCAGUGGCGGACGGGUGAGUAACACGUGGGAAUCUACCAUUAGAUGGGGAAUAACAGGCCGAAAGGACUGCUAAUGCCGCAUAUGUAUGUGCCUCGACAGGGGCGUAUAUGAAAGGAGUAAUCCGUCUGAUGAUGAGCCCGCGUCCGAUUAGCUAGUUGGUAAGGUAAAAGCUUACCAAGGCGACGAUCGGUAGGUGGUCUGAGAGGAUGAUCACCCACAAUGGGACUGAGACACGGCCCAUACUCCUACGGGAGGCAGCAGUGGGGAAUUUUACGCAAUGGGGGAAACCCUGACGUAGCGACACCGCGUGAGCGAAGAAGCCCUUUGGGGUGUAAAGCUCUGUCAACAGGAACGAAAAAAAUGACGGUACCUGUGGAGGAAGCAUCGGCUAACUACGUGCCAGCAGCCGCGGUAAGACGUAGGAUGCAAGCGUUGUCCGGAUUUAUUGGGCGUAAAGAGUUCGUAGGCGGUUUGUUAAGUCUGAUGUUAAAGACCGGGGCUCAACCUCGGAAAUGCAUUGGAUACUGGCAGACUGGAGUGCAGUAGAGGCUAGUGGAAUUCCCAGUGUAGCGGUGAAAUGCGUAGAUAUUGGGAAGAACACCGGUGGCGUAGGCGACUAGCUGGGCUGUAACUGACGCUGAGGAACGAAAGCCAGGGGAGCAAAUGGGAUUAGAUACCCCAGUAGUCCUGGCCAUAAACGAUGGAUACUAGGCGUAGUGGGUAUCGACCCCUGCUGUGCCGCAGCUAACGCGAUAAGUAUCCCGCCUGAGUAGUACGGCCGCAAGGUUG
This 845-nucleotide ribosomal RNA is filed under the name bacterium enrichment culture clone R907-15. Its description in RNAcentral is "bacterial SSU rRNA". It matches the Rfam family "Bacterial small subunit ribosomal RNA", at positions 26 to 896 of the family's 1533-position model. The record is from RNAcentral.